Molecule: ribosomal RNA, 503 nt
Filed under: uncultured bacterium
Lineage: Bacteria
Description: partial 16S ribosomal RNA
Rfam family: Bacterial small subunit ribosomal RNA
Source: RNAcentral
AACGAACGCUGGCGGCGUGCCUAACACAUGCAAGUCGAACGAGAAAGGGGCUUCGGCUCCGAGUAAAGUGGCGCACGGGUGAGUAACACGUGGGUAACCUGCCUCUAAGAUUGGGAUAACUCGUCGAAAGAUGAGCUAAUACCGAAUAAGACCUCAGUUCCCGCGGGAACAGGGGUCAAAGGUAGCCUCUGCUUGCAAGCUAUCACUUAGAGAUGGGCCUGCGCACCAUUAGCUAGUUGGUAGGGUAACGGCCUACCAAGGCAAAGAUGGUUAGCUGGUCUGAGAGGAUGAUCAGCCACACUGGAACUGAGACACGGUCCAGACUCCUACGGGAGGCAGCAGUGGGGAAUAUUGCGCAAUGGGCGAAAGCUUGACGCAGCAACGCCGCGUGAGUGAUGAAGGCCUUCGGGUCGUAAAGCUCUGUCGGGAGGAACGAAUGCUCCUGAGGUUAACAGCCUCGGGAGGUGACGGUACCUUCAAAGGAAGCACCGGCUAACUCUGUG